CUUUGGCUGUCCAUAACUUUGAUUGUUGCAGUAUUAUGCCCAAUUUGCCACAGUUUGUUACUUUUAAGGAAACAAGUAACAAGUUGGCUGCUAUAGCAUUCGUCUGGUUGUUCGGUAGAAACCCAAUUGCAAACCUAUUAAACAUUUCCGUUCGACAAACGACCGAACAACCAGGCCACCCCAGAGAGGAAUGUGGCUCUAAUUAACAUCCGCAUAGUUAUUCACAGUACCUUCAUUGAUAACCACACGAACACAUUGUGUAUUCCCUGGGUGGGCGCCGUUCGAUAUGUGAACACGUGGCGGUGGCCACCUUUCCAAUACAAACGCACCUGCGGUGUUUGGUCGUUGAGUGUGUGGAACCCAAAUCGGACACUCGACCACGCGAACACCGCAGAGACCUCCAUACUUCCCCCCCCUCCCCCCCCUUUGUGGGAAAACAUACAAACGGCACAGCGUUCGGUGAAAAGAUACACACUAACGAGGGGAAUCAUCCGAACCCAGGCAGAGCCCAUUGUAUUGACUUAUUUCGGGUUUUUCACCUCACGAACGGAGACCGACCGCAAGGCCAAAACAUAUGGAACUCCUUUCGGCUACCACCUCGUGUGCGAUCGGUAAAACAAAGACCUCCAAAAAAAUUCACGAACCCCUAAACCGAUCUGUGUGAUUUUUGAGGUAUGUUGCUCACCCAGAUCAGGGCUAUCAGGGGAUAUUUAAUAAAUGGGUGUAAGUCAUAGUCUUGGGGUACAUCCAGAAAUUGGGGAAAAAUGUGUGUUUCAAAUGUACAGUUAAUUAUGUUAUCUCACAGGCUAAGGGGAGGAAAUGUGUGGGCUGUAACCAGUUAGUGAUUGGAGAAUGCCUAAUUUUCUGUGGG
Pelobates cultripes (western spadefoot toad) is the source of this 871-nucleotide non-coding RNA. NCBI's taxonomy places the organism in Eukaryota, Metazoa, Chordata, Amphibia, Anura, Pelobatidae. The record is from the annotation of a GenBank genome assembly.